Molecule: unclassified non-coding RNA, 241 nt
Filed under: Glomus sp.
Lineage: Eukaryota; Fungi; Glomeromycota; Glomeromycetes; Glomerales; Glomeraceae
Description: partial contains 5.8S ribosomal RNA and internal transcribed spacer 2
Rfam family: 5.8S ribosomal RNA (bases 1-65)
Source: RNAcentral
GUGAAUCAUCGAAUUUUUGGACGCAAAUUGCACUCUCUUCGGAGAGUAUGCCUGUUUGAGGGUCAGCCUUAAAAAAAUCGACAUAGUUGCUGUUUUUCAGUGAGAUUCGUCGGAAUUUGGGACAUCUUAAUCCUUUGGGUUGUAUGAUGAUUAAAAUGUUCUUUACGAUUACACGAACGUUUCUAAGAUUUAUUUCUUACGUUUAAGGUAUCGAUUUUUAUUAGACGUGUCCGUUGUUUCG